Molecule: ribosomal RNA, 235 nt
Filed under: uncultured Candidatus Saccharibacteria bacterium
Lineage: Bacteria; Candidatus Saccharimonadota
Description: partial 16S ribosomal RNA
Rfam family: Bacterial small subunit ribosomal RNA
Source: RNAcentral
UAAGCGAAUAAUGAAAGAGUGUGGCUUAACCAUAUAAACAUUAUUCGAACUGCUCAACUAGAGAAUGGAAGAGGUAGCUGGAAUUACUAGUGGAGGAGUAAUAUCCGUAGAUAUUAGUAAGAACACCAAUGGCGAAGGCAGGCUACUGGUCCAUUUCUGACGCCCAGGCACGAAAGCGUAGGUAGCAAACAGGAUUAGAUACCCUGGUAGUCUACGCCGUAAACGAUGGAUACUA